CUGAACUCAGGCGUGAUUACCCGCUGAACUUAACAUAUCACUACU
RNAcentral lists this ribosomal RNA (45 nucleotides) under Trichostrongylus colubriformis. RNAcentral describes it as "partial 28S ribossomal RNA". Lineage: Eukaryota; Metazoa; Nematoda; Chromadorea; Rhabditida; Trichostrongylidae. The record is from RNAcentral.